UACGUAGGCAGCAAGCGUUGUUCGGAGUUACUGGGCGUAAAGGGUGUGUAGGCGGUUUUCUAAGUCUGGUGUGAAAUCUCCCGGCUCAACUGGGAGGGUGCGCCGAAAACUGGAAGGCUAGAGUGCGGGAUGGGAGAGUGGAAUUCCUGGUGUAGCGGUGAAAUGCGUAGAUAUCUGGAGGAAUACCGGUGGCGAAGGCGGCAUCCUGGACCGGCAUUGACGCUGAUGAGCGAAAGCUAGGGGAGCAAACGGG
RNAcentral lists this ribosomal RNA (253 nucleotides) under uncultured bacterium. RNAcentral describes it as "partial 16S ribosomal RNA". It matches the Rfam family "Bacterial small subunit ribosomal RNA", at positions 524 to 776 of the family's 1533-position model. The record is from RNAcentral.